AUGCGGACCGGUCGGGCCGGUUCCCGGCCUGCCGGAGAACCGGUCUGGCUGGCCUGUUAUGCCAACAAAUUCUGGUUUGAGUCCACGUUCCGUAGAAACCUGCCCGGCCAGUUACAUGAAAGGCGUAUUGGGUUAUCCGCUGCACACCAUAUAUACCUGCAUGCAACCCAGCUUCUCCACCCAGCCCCGGUUUCUCGGCGUCCUCCGCGGUGGUCCGGGGAAGGGGCUCCCUCGGUCCUCUCGGCGCCGGAAGAUCAUCGCUCCGAAGGAAAUCAACUGUCGGCACGUUGGCCCGAAGCGGAGAUCGUCCGAGACCGUACGACGGAAGGACUAGAGUCAUCUCAAGAGGCUUGGCUGGACUGACCGUCUCCCUGGCUGCAUUUAACGUCUUAACGAUCAACCAUUUGGAUAGUGGAUAGUAGAGGUUCCCGGGAUGUCCCGAUAUGGAAUGAAUCAGAACUACAGUUAGACGCAGCAUCCGAAAGACAUUGCUAGAGCAGGGGAGAGAUUGUAGAAAGACUCUGGGAUCGUGAGUGCCCUCGGAGGAGGAACGGUCUUCUAAGAAGAAUGGAAAAACAUUUGUGUGUGAAAAACAAAGACCGGAAUCUGGUAACUGAUUAACUAUUGGAGCCCAGAAGCACUUGCUGAGCUGAACAGAAAGGUAUGAGGACAGGUUUUGUCAUGCCUAUAAGGGCCAAAGUACUUUAUAGCUAAGGAAAAUGGGAAUCUUCUCCUCACCUGGAUGAUACUGAAAAUUGCUUCUAUCCCUUCUCUUCCUUUUCGGUUCCUGGAGGGGACCUAUUUAAGUGAAUCUUUUUGCAGUUAGGUCAGUCAAUGAAAGGCAUGUAUUGAGUGCUUACUGUGUACAGAGCAAUAUACUAAGCGCCUGGGAGAGGUAAUGUCGUUACCACCCUUUAGGCCGGCCUGAUGGGAUGGCGUAUAAUUUCCUAGAGGCCUGGACAAGUCGUUUCUGGCAGACCAAGACAGCUUUUCAGGUACCGAUGUCUGGAUUUCUUUAGGGGGUAAGGAGACGGGUAACCGAUCUGAAGCCCUAUCCUGAGCUCCAGUGCUUCUGCAAGCUAAAACUGGAGUGGGUUUCUUUCGGGGGGAUAAUAACAGAGGAGGGCGAAAGGAAACUUGUUCUUUCUUUCUCUCAGAAAGAAAAUUGCUAUUUAGGUCAAGUCGUGUUGCAUUUUUAAGGAGAACACCCCCUCAUCCAUUCCCCAAAACUAAUCAGUAAGCUCUUGGUGGGCAGGGUUCACGUUUACGGACUCGUAUUGUACUUUCCCAAGUGCUCACUGCAGGGGUCUGCAUACAGUAGACUGUAAAAUCAAUCUGUAGGGAUGUGAAAUCAAUCAGUCAAACAUUUACUGAGCGCUUGCUGUGUGCAGAGCACUGUACUAAGCACUUGGGAGAGUACAAUAUAAUAAUAAACAGGCACGCUCCCUAUCCGCAACAAGGUUCUAGUCUAGAGAACCUACAGAGACGUUUUUCGUUUUGGAAGACCGUUCCUUCUCUGAUAAAUACCAAUAAAUACCAGUGAUUAAAGGGAAUUCUGCAUUCACGUUUGAAAGAUGAAAAGAUGCAGAAUUAGGAUGGUUCGAAGUACAAUUUUCUGCCUUUUUCAACGUAUACACAUUGUGGACCUAGCUAUGAUUUUCUAAACUGUUUCUUAAGUUGAUAUUUACCCCUCUUUUGUGUCUGAAAGGAGGCCCAGUUCACCUCUCCCAUUUCCUACCUUAGCGACCCUCAUAUUUAUGAUCUUGGCAUCCGUUUGGGAAUAGCUUUGGUUACCUGUUUUGCCUUGGGAAUUCAGGAGUAAAAAUUACAAACCUGUUUUUUUUUCUUUUUCCUGUUAGGACAUAGUGUCAAAGAGUUCUGGUACUCUGUGACAGGGGCUUCAG
RNAcentral lists this long non-coding RNA (1904 nucleotides) under Ornithorhynchus anatinus (platypus). Its description in RNAcentral is "lncRNA (ENSOANG00000046644.1)". Lineage: Eukaryota; Metazoa; Chordata; Mammalia; Monotremata; Ornithorhynchidae. The record is from RNAcentral.